This 67-nucleotide transfer RNA is filed under the name Diaphorencyrtus aligarhensis. RNAcentral's name for it is "tRNA-His". Lineage: Eukaryota; Metazoa; Arthropoda; Insecta; Hymenoptera; Encyrtidae. The record is from RNAcentral.
AUUUAAAUAAUUUAAUUUAAAAAUUUUGAUUUGUGGAAUCAACUUUAUAGUUUUACUAUUUUAAAUA